UCGAGCGGAUGAAGGUAGCUUGCUACCGGAUUCAGCGGCGGACGGGUGAGUAAUGCCUAGGAAUCUGCCCGGUAAUGGGGGAUAACGUUUCGAAAGGAACGCUAAUACCGCAUACGUCCUACGGGAGAAAGCAGGGGACCUUCGGGCCUUGCGUUAUCGGAUGAGCCUAGGUCGGAUUAGCUAGUUGGUGAGGUAAUGGCUCACCAAGGCGACGAUCCGUAACUGGUCUGAGAGGAUGAUCAGUCACACUGGAACUGAGACACGGUCCAGACUCCUACGGGAGGCAGCAGUGGGGAAUAUUGGACAAUGGGCGAAAGCCUGAUCCAGCCAUGCCGCGUGUGUGAAGAAGGUCUUCGGAUUGUAAAGCACUUUAAGUUGGGAGGAAGGGCAGUCAGUUAAUACCUUGCUGUCUUGACGUUACCAACAGAAUAAGCACCGGCUAACUUCGUGCCAGCAGCCGCGGUAAUACGAAGGGUGCAAGCGUUAAUCGGAAUUACUGGGCGUAAAGCGCGCGUAGGUGGUUCAGCAAGUUGGAUGUGAAAGCCCCGGGCUCAACCUGGGAACUGCAUCCAAAACUACUGAGCUAGAGUACGGUAGAGGGUGGUGGAAUUUCCUGUGUAGCGGUGAAAUGCGUAGAUAUAGGAAGGAACACCAGUGGCGAAGGCGACCACCUGGACUGAUACUGACACUGAGGUGCGAAAGCGUGGGGAGCAAACAGGAUUAGAUACCCUGGUAGUCCACGCCGUAAACGAUGUCAACUAGUUGUUGGGUUCCUUGAGAACUUAGUAACGAAGCUAACGCGAUAAGUUGACCGCCUGGGGAGUACGGCCGCAAGGUUAAAACUCAAAUGAAUUGACGGGGGCCCGCACAAGCGGUGGAGCAUGUGGGUUUAAUUCGAAGCAACGCG
Molecule: ribosomal RNA, 907 nt
Filed under: bacterium
Lineage: Bacteria
Description: bacterial SSU rRNA
Rfam family: Bacterial small subunit ribosomal RNA
Source: RNAcentral